Molecule: ribosomal RNA, 493 nt
Filed under: uncultured bacterium
Lineage: Bacteria
Description: bacterial SSU rRNA
Rfam family: Bacterial small subunit ribosomal RNA
Source: RNAcentral
AGAGUUUGAUCAUGGCUCAGAGCGAACGCUGGCGGCGUGCUUAACACAUGCAAGUCGAACGGGUGUAGCAAUACAUCCGUGGCGAACGGGUGCGUAACACGUGGAUAACCUUCCUUCAGGUGGAGAAUAACCCCGUGAAAACGGGGCUAAUACCGCAUAACGAGCCGGGGGCGCAUGUCCCUGUCUCCAAAGCCGCAAGGCGCCAGAAGAGGGAUCCGCGGCCGAUUAGCUUGUUGGCGAGGUAACGGCUCACCAAGGCAAAGAUCGGUAGCCGGAUUGAGAGGUUGGCCGGCCACACUGGAACUGAGACACGGUCCAGACUCCUACGGGAGGCAGCAGUGGGGAGUCUUGCGCAAUGGGCGAAAGCCUGACGCAGCAACGCCGCGUGGGGGAUGAAGGCUCUCGGGUUGUAAACCCCUUUCAGCAGGGACGAUUGUGACGGUACCUGCAGAAGAAGGCCCGGCCAACUACGUGCCAGCAGCCGCGGUAAUAC